Molecule: ribosomal RNA, 468 nt
Filed under: uncultured bacterium
Lineage: Bacteria
Description: partial 16S ribosomal RNA
Rfam family: Bacterial small subunit ribosomal RNA
Source: RNAcentral
GACGAACGCUGGCGGCGUGCUUAACACAUGCAAGUCGAACGGAAAGGCCCUGCUUUUGUGGGGUGCUCGAGUGGCGAACGGGUGAGUAACACGUGAGUAACCUGCCCUUGACUUUGGGAUAACUUCAGGAAACUGGGGCUAAUACCGGAUAGGAGCUCCUGCUGCAUGGUGGGGGUUGGAAAGUUUCGGCGGUUGGGGAUGGACUCGCGGCUUAUCAGCUUGUUGGUGGGGUAGUGGCUUACCAAGGCUUUGACGGGUAGCCGGCCUGAGAGGGUGACCGGGCCAAAUGGGACCUGGGUACCGGCCAAGACCCUUCGGGAGGGAGGAGGGGGGAAUAUUGCACAAUGGGCGGAAGCCUGAUGCAGCAACGCCGCGUGCGGGAUGACGGCCUUCGGGUUGUAAACCGCUUUCGCCUGUGACGAAGCGUGAGUGACGGUAAUGGGUAAAGAAGCACCGGCUAACUACGUG